GCGACGCACAGAAUUCUACACUUAGCCUAGCCUAUAAAUAAGGUCCUGGUAACUGGUAACCAUUGAAUUCAUUGAAUUGCAUUCGUAGAGGCAGACAGUUGUUGUACACACCGCUCUCCCGCUGUCGAUCGAGUAUUUCAAAUACUGACGUGGUAAUCUCUGGUCAUCUUCUGACAAAAAUAAAUGGAUCAAAGGCACCAAGGAGGCAGCGCUGUGUUUUGAAAUUGAAGGAAAAUAGACCAUGUGUUACUAGCCAAUGUUAUGUCUACAUUACACAUUAAACUUUUUAUGACGAAAGGCCGGUGCACACUGUUUGUUUCUGAGAGUAAGAGACUGAUUUUGGAGUAGUGCCAAAUGUUCCAGAGACUUAUGAGACUUCCAGAAAAAAAGUGGUAAUGGAAAAGAAUAACAAAGGCCCCAGGAUGUUUUACAGAAAUGCCUAUCAUGGAAGGGGGAAAGGUCAGAAUGCAAGUCACAGAGGUGGACGUUGGGGGUCAUCAUACGGUGCUGCUUGUCUUUAUGAAGAGCUAGGAGGACAAGACCAGAGUGUAAACCACCAAAGAGGAGGAUGGAGAGGAGGAGGAAGGGGAGGAGGAGGAAGAGGGAGAGGAGGAAGAUUUGAUCAGGCUGGUUUUCGUCUAGAUGUAGGGCCUGAUGACUUUGAAAGAUUGUCAAGGGGACAAAGAAGAAGAGAAUGGGGUUCGUUUGAUGAGAUGGAACCAACUGGAGAACAAGGCUGGGCUAGAGACCAUUGGACGGAAAUAGGAUGGGGACCAUUUGUCAAGACUGGCCCCAACCAGGAAGGAGGAUGGGGUGGAGGUAGAAGUUUUGCAAAGGGAACAGGACAAGGAAGGGGUGGCAUUGACCCAAGGGGACGAGGACAGGGAUCAUCUGACGGAGAUUUCCGAUGUCAAGAGAGACGGAAUAGUCAACCCUGCUGCAGAAGUUAUUCAAAAAGUACAAAAUCUGCAGAAUAUGCUGUACGCCGUGAUGAGGCUCUACCCCGUUCUGCCUACAUUUCUCAGGAAGUCAAUCGGUCUCCCUCGUCUUUGAUGCCACCUGCUACAGUCCAAAACCUCUCCAAGGCUUCUGCCGGAGACAAGGAGUGUAUUACACAGAAGAGAGGAAGAUGGAGAGGAAAGUCCAAUGACAAAAAGUACAAGGACAAUGGUUUUGUUGGUGGUCAGAGUCACAGUUGUGUGGACCUUUCCACUGUGGGGCAGAGGCAGAGUAAUCCUGAGGGAUGUCAGAGAACAUCGAAGGUAAAAGAUAGUGAGCCAAACAGCUCUCAGAGGAUGAAGACAGAAGCUAGUUUGCAAGUCAAAGACUCUUUUACAGAUGCAGAAAGUGUCAAGAAUGUUAUCCUAGAAAACUUUUCAAAAAGGGAGAACUUGGAACUGGAAUUUGUGGAAGACAGUAUCGUGUCUACAAGAGAACGCACAGCAUGUUCUGUUAUACUUUACCACAGGGAAAAUCUAUCUGGAGGGUCGGUAUUUGCAGAGUUAUGCAAAACAAUGAAAGAUAAAGUGAACACUGAAGUCACAUAUUAUAUUUCACGUACUUACAAAGAAGAUGGCGUCAAGAACACUGACUCUGAAAAUGAAGAGAGUGAUAAUUUGGACGCCUCACAGAGCGCAAAGACUAUAACGUAUAAGAAUAAGAAACGAAGAAGCCGACGGACAAGUAAAGUGAAUGCAAAAGGGGAUGUCAAUACUGAUACUUCUUCACAGAACAAAAGUGGACCUCCAGCUAAACCUGUGCCAUCUCCUGUACCGACCACUCUGAGUAUUCGUAUUGAGAAAAGUUUCAAGGAUACUGACUCUGUCCGACAAUAUCUCCUUGAAAAAAUUGAAAAGGAGAAGUAUUCUUUUGAAAUUGUACCGAACAGCAUUAAUAUCCACAAGUUUGAAACUUAUUGUGAAUUGAAAAUGCCCAGUAAAGCUGCUGCUGAGAGGUUAAGGAACCUACUGAAUGGCUGCAAAGAAGUGAAAAUUUUUAAUGGCAACAAGCUGAAGAAAGCUAUAAGUGAUGCUCAGAGAAACAGUAUGAAGCGGGAAAUUCAGAGUGCAUCAGCUUUGAUUUCUUCUCAUCUUACACAGCAUGAUGAGAAAAUCAAGAAGUUUGAAGACUCCAUAGCUAACUUGGAACGAAAAUCUGGCAAGCAUCUUUCAUGCAGAAGUGAAAGUGAAAGUUUGGCUUUGAAAGACAAACUGGAAGAAGCAGCGUGCCAGAAAGACACAUUCCAGGAACAAUGUACUAAGAUGAUUAGCCUGUUAGAAGAUCUCAGUACAUCAACAAUGUCUUGUGAAGAUCAGUGGACUAAGCUGCUUCGUUCUAUUAGCAUUGAGUGUAAGAAGCUGUCAAAUGCCCUGCCCAUGUAUGCUCGCAGGAAUGACAUUCUUAAUGUGAUCUCUGCCAACAAAGUCUCUGUCGUGCUCGGGGAGACUGGCUCAGGGAAAAGCACACAAAUGGCUCAAUAUAUAUAUGAGUCGGACAUUAAUGGAGAAGGUAUGAUUGUUUGCACACAGCCAAGGAAGAUAGCUGCUCGCACUCUCGCUGAAAGGGUUGCCUUUGAACUUGUGAGCAAAGUUGGGAAUCUGGUUGGGUACAAAACAGGUGCUCAAAAAUGUAUGGGGCCUAUGACAAAGAUUGUCUUUACCACAGAUCAUUCGUUGCUCAAUGAGUUCCUGAAAGACCCUGAUCUGCGCGCCUACUCUUGCAUCAUAGUUGAUGAGGCUCAUGAACGAAGUAUUUACACAGACAUUUUGCUGGGCAUGAUCAAAUCCUGUUCAGAACGGCGGCCUGAGUUGAAAGUUAUCAUUACUUCUGCUACUAUCAAUCCAGAGAUUUUCAUCAACUACUUUCCAAACAAGCCAACUUUGCUUCAAGUCUCCGGGAGGACUUUUCCUGUCAACGUGGUUUACGAGAGUGCAGAUGAAACCCAAGAUUUUGAAAACAUAGAAGAAAAGGCAGUGUCCAAAGUUGUGAGUAUCCAUAAGAGUAAAGUACCAGGAGACAUCCUUGUAUUUCUGACGUCAGCUGUUGAAAUAAUGCGUUGCUGUGAAGAAACUAAAAAGAGACUGAAAGAUCCUGAGAAGUAUCGAUGUUUACCUCUUCAUGGUCAGCUUCCCGCAGAAGAGCAACAGGAAGUUUUCAAACAGCUUGAUGUCGGGGUGAGGAAGAUUGUCUUUGCAACAAACUGUGCAGAGACCUCAGUGACGAUUGAUGGAAUCAAAUUUGUCAUUGACCCAGGCGUAGCCAAGGAGAUGAAGUAUGACCCCAAGAAAAACAUCAGCCUUUUGGGAACUCACAUUAUUAGCCAGAGCUCAGCCAAUCAGAGAAAAGGAAGAGCUGGUCGCACAGCCAGUGGCACCUGUUACCGCCUGUACACUGAGCAAAGCUUUCUUUCCAUGGCAACCAGCUCUGAACCGGAGAUUCUCCGUGUUCAUUUAGGACAGGCUGUUUUAAAACUGGCAGAACUUGGUGUUAAUGCCAGAAGCUAUGACUUUGUGGAGCCACCAAGCAGAGAAGCUCUUGACACUGCUGUCAGCACUCUGAGAGAAAUUGGUGCUUUGCUGGGUGAUAGCAUUACUGAAACUGGUCGGUUUAUCUCUAGAUUACCCUUUGAUCCUAGACAAGGACUAUUGGUGUUCCUUGGACACAAGGACCAUUUACUGUACGAUGCUGUUGUAAUUGCUGCGUUACUCAGCAAUGGCUCAGACAUAUUUUACAGGGGACUCACUGACGUGGAGGAGCAGAAUUCAGCUAGGAAUAAGAAUCAGUUUGCUUCCCAGUUUGGAGAUCCUUUCACCUGGUUCAACGUUUACAAAGAAUGGUCCUCUGCUCCAAAGAAACAGCAGUCAGCAUGGUGUAAGGAGCACAGCGUCAACAACAAGGUGAUGAACUACACAAGACAAUGUGUCAGAGAUGUUGCUGAUGUUUUGCGUAAAGAGCACAGGAUUCACAUGGAAGAAAACUUUUCAGACUCAGAGACAGCUGUAGACCGCUUAAGGAAGAUGAUCUUCACAGCAAACCUGUCAAUGGUUGGCCAUUUUCUGGGUCAUCAACGGGCUGGUUACUAUGCCACCGGGAUUCAGCGCCAGGUGCAUUUUCAUCCUUCGUCUUCUUUAAUGAGUCAAAAUGCAUAUCCAGAAUGGAUUGUAUACUCACAGUUUGUCAAGACGUCUCGAGACUUUAUCAAAGGCAUCACUGUCAUCGAUGAGGCAUGGGUUCAGGAAUCUGUGAAUGAAAAACAGUUGGCGAUUGAUAUUGCUGAGGUCAAAGGAAAGCAAGCACGCCUUGUUCACAGAGAGGAAGCUGGAACAAUUGUCUUCAGGGCUCUGGUCGGGCCACGCUUUCAAAACCUGAUGGUUCUGGAGGGCUGCUUUGUGAAGGUUGGGAUGGAAACUGUAGUUGUAGAAGCAAACCGUGAUCUCGGAACUGUAGAUGUUUUUUCAUCUAGCCCUUGCAACCAACACGUCAUUACAAUUUUCAACAGCUACAAGAAGAUGACUCUUCAGGAACUGCAAAGUCGAGAGCAGGAAUUUUCUGUAAAUAAAUCAUCUAAGAAGGAGCAAGGUGGGUGCAGAGUGAUGCUUGGACAAGGUGCUGAGGUCAAAUUAGUUCUUAUGCCUGGACAAAGCACUAAAGUCUUGAUAAAAAAUGCUCCUGACACAAGCACUGUGGAAGAUGUAAGGGACAUAUUUUCUGUAUAUGGUCAAAUAAAGGAUUGUUUCCGUUUCAAAUGUGAAGAUCCUUGGGGUCUGGUUCGGUUUGCUACCUGUUCAGAAGCAGAGAAAGCUGCGAAUGAAACCAAGGAUGAUGAAGUGAACACUGCAGUGUUGUUGAAAACUGAUGGGCAAAGGCAGCAGAAGGCGCCGCAGUUUCAGGCUCGUCUUUCUUGGUACCGACGACCUGUGAAAGGAAGAGGCACAGCAUUCAUCAAAUGCCAGGCCGAUGUGAAAAAGUGUCUUCUUUUUCAACCAAUACUACUGAAUUUGGGAACAUGUACAAUCAAAGAGAGUAACAAAGGUGAGGAUUUGGUUGUCUUCAAUACAGGGCACACUUCAGAAGAUAUUAUCAAAGACAGAAUUUUGGAGUUACUGAGACGGAGAGGUAAGAUUCAUAAAAGUCUGGAGGAUGAAAUUCGUGUUUUUGUUGUUCGGGAAAAUAAAGUUGCUCCAACAGAAGAAGAAAUGAGUAUGCUAGAAACUGCAGUGCUCAGUAAGUUUGAUAUGCACCUCCAGUCUCGCUGGGACACAUGCACUGUUGACCUGAAAUAUCCAAGGGAUAAAGACGUCAAAACAAAUUGGCUUUGUAUAUUUCAACAACCCAGUGUCUGGCUUCCGUGCAUGUCAGCGUCUACAAGGCAUCCUCAGUGUGGAUGGUCAACCAGUAGAAAUAAGCCCCAAACUGAAGACAAGUAUCCAUAUUCCACGCAAGAUUAUGGAAGCCAGCAAGCUCCGAUUUGUUGAUCACAUUCAAGGCUUGAAAAGAUAUAAAGCAACUGAGGUGACAAUUGUGCCUCUAAAGCAAGGAGAUUUCCGGUUAGACAUUUCUUCACCGAAAGCCAAGUGCAUUGUUGUGGCCAGAGAAGUCUUUCAGACUGAGCUAGAGGGAGAUGUUAUUGAGUGUGGGAGGUCUGCACUGCUUGAAUGUCUCCUCUCACGGCAGGGACUCCAGGAAGUUCACAAAGUGGAGGAAUCAGCUGAUGUGCUCAUUGUUGUUAAUCAAAGGGAAAAACAGCUGCACUUCUAUGGUCAGGACGAAAAAAUGAGCAAGGCGAAAAUAGUCUUAAACACGUAUCUGAGCAGACUGGCUGAUGGGAGAGAAGAAUGCAUUAACCUGAAAGGCCAAACCCGCCCUCCAGGUUUGAUGAAAGCACUGCUGCUCAAACACGGACAUACACUGGACGGACUUCAGAAUGAGUUCCAACUAAACAGUGUUAAAAUUGAUUUUAAACUUCAAAAAGUCUCCCUUGCAGGGAAAGAUGAAGCUUUGAGAAACUGUAUUAUGAGUAUUGAAGAACUUUCCAGAGAUAUUGCUGAGCGCUCAAAUGCACAGUCUGACACGGAGCUGCCCGACUGUGUGGUGUGCAUGUGUCCAGUGGAGACCAGCUCUGAUCUGUAUCGCCUGGAGGGUUGUGGACACGGGUAUUGCACGGUGUGCAUCAAGCUGCAAGUCAGUGUGUCGGUGCAGGACAAGCAGUUCCCUAUGUCCUGUGCCCGCGAGGGAUGUGGCCAACUUCUGGUUUGGAAAGACAUUGAUUUUUUCCUCAAAAAGAAAUGGAUAACAGGGGACAAACUUGUUCAGAUGGCUCUGAAUGCUUAUGUAGAGCAACAGCCUGACAAAUACAAGUUUUGCUCCACUCCAAACUGCCCUGUUGUGUAUGAAGUGACGCAUGAGCCGCAAGGUUGUGUGUUCACCUGUCCGUCGUGUUACGCCAGCGUCUGUUCUUCUUGCAACAAGGCUUCCCAUGCUGGACUUACUUGUGAGAUGGCAAAGAGCUUGAGUAAUGCGGAGAAAGAACUGGAACGUUGGACGAAGGAAAACCCAGGGAAACGCAAAAUCUGCCCUGGAUGCAGGGGCCCGGUUGAAAAGAUUGAGGGCUGCAACAAAAUGCGCUGCUCGUGUUGCAAGGUUAUCUUUUGCUGGUUGUGUCUGAAACGCUUUCCUACAGAAAAACUUUGCUAUGAUCACCUGAGCUCUGCACAUGGAAGCUUUUACUAACAGAAGAAAACCAGAUUUGUUUUUUGUUUGUUUCCUCAAUUGCCAAGCUUAACACAUCUUGUACUGACUUGUUCAUUUGCUUAUCUUUACUUGACUUGAAGUUGAAAACCUUUCUCCAACUGCUGACUUUGGAAUGUUGAUUUUUCUGUUUGUAGCCUUAUUUUUUUCUGAAGAAUUUGACCACAAAGUGAUUUGAUUGUUACAAAGUAUUCUUGGGAUUUUUUUGUUUACAAUGUGUGCUUGAAAGAUUUUUUUUGUCUUUUUCAGAUGUUGCAUGAUUGUGGUUGUUCUAAGUGUAAAUAAAAUGCUAAUGCUUUUUAUUGUGCUUUC
RNA transcript from Aplysia californica (California sea hare), 7059 nucleotides. It is a transcript of the gene named ATP-dependent RNA helicase DEAH12, chloroplastic-like, with no coding region annotated. Lineage: Eukaryota; Metazoa; Mollusca; Gastropoda; Aplysiida; Aplysiidae. The record is from RefSeq and is a predicted model, not a curated record. The transcript has 2 exons.